CUUGCUGCCAAUCAUGCCUCCCAGCAGCACUGCUCUGUUCGGCCUUGCCUUAGCAAAGUUCGGUAUUGCCUCAGCAAAGUUUGAGGCCGUGCCGUGAUGAUAUGUAGAGUUUGGGAAGACAGGGUUUGGAGGAGCCCUUAUCUGGGCAUUCGGAGGUGCAAGGGACAAUUCAAGGAAGAAAUGAAGGAUACUCCUAUACUUAACCAAUGCACGGUUUAAAUAGACAUCUACUGAUGAGGGAGCCGACAUCCACUUCGGAUCUCCAAAUUGCUAUCCAGUCGUUGCCCUUUUUUUUCUCAGAUCCCUACGCUUCACGAGGAUUUUACGGUCACAUGCAUUUAGAAGGGAGCAUUUCUACUUUCACUUUACUUUUCUUUUUACCUCCGUGUUUUCUGGUGUUUUAUGUUUUUACCCGUUACUUUCA
Prunus avium (sweet cherry) is the source of this 424-nucleotide non-coding RNA. The record is from RefSeq and is a predicted model, not a curated record. NCBI's taxonomy places the organism in Eukaryota, Viridiplantae, Streptophyta, Magnoliopsida, Rosales, Rosaceae.